Molecule: ribosomal RNA, 807 nt
Filed under: Triticum aestivum (bread wheat)
Lineage: Eukaryota; Viridiplantae; Streptophyta; Magnoliopsida; Poales; Poaceae
Description: partial small subunit ribosomal RNA
Source: RNAcentral
AUGUCCGGAGUGGGAGGCAAGUGGAUGGUCUCCUCCGUCACGGAGGGCCAUGUCAAAAGGCUAAGGAAGGCCGGAUACCUGUCCAAAGACAUCGCACACCGGCUUCCUGAGGAGGGGCAGCUUCUCCCCACCCCAAGGCCCCAUGAGAGGGUAGUAUUUCUUCCCCACUUCCUCCGUGGACUGGGUUUUCCUCUCCACCCAUUUGUCCGCGGGCUCAUGUUCUACUAUGGCCUAGAUUUCCACGAUCUGGCCCCGAACUUCAUCCUCAAUAUCUCAACGUUUAUCGUCGUAUGCGAGGCUUUCCUCUGCAUCCGCCCCCAUUUCAGCCUCUGGCUCAAGACCUUUAAUGUCAAGCCAAAGGUGGUGCACGGCAACCAGGCGGAGUGCGGAGGUGCCAUGGCGGGCAAAAUAGCCAACGUCCUAUGGCUCGAGGGCUCCUUUGUGGAGACCUUGAAGGGGUGGCAGUCAGGGUGGUUUUACAUCACCGAGCCACACGAUCCAAAGUGGAUCGCAGCCCCUGAAUUCCGAUCUAAACCCCCUACGCGGCUCACGUCCUGGAAGGAGAUGGGCUUGUCGUGGGGCGAUGAAGAAGAGGUGACCGGACUGCAAAAAUGCAUCCAGUCCCUGGUGAACAAGCAGCUCAAGCUUGUCAACGUAGUCCAGGUCAUGCUCGUCCGCCGGAUCCUUCCGUGUCAAGAACGGGACUUCAAUUUGUGGGAGUUCAACCCGGCGCAGCACCAAACUCUGAGCAGGCUCUUCGACACGACGUACAAAGAUGUCUGGAAGGGGCUAACCAAAGGUGUCUAG